UACGUAGGGGGCGAGCGUUGUCCGGAUUUAUUGGGCGUAAAGAGCGUGUAGGCGGCCAGGUAGGUCUGCUGUGAAAACUCGAGGCUCAACCUCGAGACGUCGGCGGAAACCAUCUGGCUAGAGUCCGGAAGAGGAGAGUGGAAUUCCUGGUGUAGCGGUGAAAUGCGCAGAUAUCAGGAAGAACACCCGUGGCGAAGGCGGCUCUCUGGGACGGUACUGACGCUGAGACGCGAAAGCGUGUGGAGCGAACAGG
This 253-nucleotide ribosomal RNA is filed under the name uncultured bacterium. RNAcentral describes it as "partial 16S ribosomal RNA". It matches the Rfam family "Bacterial small subunit ribosomal RNA", at positions 524 to 776 of the family's 1533-position model. The record is from RNAcentral.